UACGAAGGGGGCUAGCGUUGUUCGGAAUUACUGGGCGUAAAGCGCACGUAGGCGGAUAUUUAAGUCAGGGGUGAAAUCCCAGAGCUCAACUCUGGAACUGCCUUUGAUACUGGGUAUCUUGAGUAUGGAAGAGGUGAGUGGAAUUCCGAGUGUAGAGGUGAAAUUCGUAGAUAUUCGGAGGAACACCAGUGGCGAAGGCGGCUCACUGGUCCAUUACUGACGCUGAGGUGCGAAAGCGUGGGGAGCAAACAGGG
Molecule: ribosomal RNA, 254 nt
Filed under: uncultured bacterium
Lineage: Bacteria
Description: partial 16S ribosomal RNA
Rfam family: Bacterial small subunit ribosomal RNA
Source: RNAcentral